This 741-nucleotide ribosomal RNA is filed under the name uncultured bacterium. RNAcentral's name for it is "bacterial SSU rRNA". It matches the Rfam family "Bacterial small subunit ribosomal RNA", at positions 8 to 796 of the family's 1533-position model. The record is from RNAcentral.
AGAGUUUGAUCAUGGCUCAGAGCGAACGCUGGCGGCAGGCCUAACACAUGCAAGUCGAACGCUCGUAGCAAUACGAGAGUGGCAGACGGGUGAGUAACGCGUGGGAACGUACCUUUCGGUUCGGAAUAACCCGGGGAAACUCGGGCUAAUACCGGAUACGUCCGCAAGGAGAAAGAUUUAUCGCCGAAAGAUCGGCCCGCGUUGGAUUAGCUAGUUGGUGAGGUAACGGCUCACCAAGGCGAUGAUCCAUAGCUGGUCUGAGAGGACGAUCAGCCACACUGGGACUGAGACACGGCCCAGACUCCUACGGGAGGCAGCAGUGGGGAAUAUUGGACAAUGGGCGCAAGCCUGAUCCAGCCUGNNGCGUGAGUGAUGAAGGCCUUAGGGUUGUAAAGCUCUUUUACCAGGGAAGAUAAUGACGGUACCUGGAGAAUAAGCCCCGGCUAACUUCGUGCCAGCAGCCGCGGUAAUACGAAGGGGGCUAGCGUUGCUCGGAAUCACUGGGCGUAAAGCGCACGUAGGUGGAUCACUAAGUCAGGGGUGNNNCCUGGAGCUCAACUCCAGAACUGCCUUUGAUACUGAUGAUCUUUGAGUCCGGGAGAGGUGGGUGGAACUGCGAGUGUAGAGGUGAAAUUCGUAGAUAUUCGCAAGAACACCAGUGGCGAAGCGGCUCACUGGCCCGGUACUGACACUGAGGUGCGAAAGCGUGGGGGCAAACAGGAUUAGAUACCCUAGUAGUCC